ACCAUGAAGACACAAACACCUUAAUUUUUACUUCCUUGUUAUAAUAUGAGUUGGUUAUAACAGACUUAGGGUAUCAACAACAAUAAACUAAAACCUAUAAAAGAGGGACGUAAGAUACCACAGGGACAGUCAAAAUAAUAAAUCGAAAAUAAACUGGCAACGCCAUGGCUAAAAAUGAAAAAGAAAAACAGAAAAACCAUAGUUAACAGGACACAACAUAGAAAACUAAAAAAUAAGCAACACGAACCCCACC
Molecule: long non-coding RNA, 253 nt
Filed under: Mytilus galloprovincialis (Mediterranean mussel)
Lineage: Eukaryota; Metazoa; Mollusca; Bivalvia; Mytilida; Mytilidae
Source: RNAcentral